This 409-nucleotide ribosomal RNA is filed under the name uncultured bacterium. Its description in RNAcentral is "bacterial SSU rRNA". It matches the Rfam family "Bacterial small subunit ribosomal RNA", at positions 354 to 777 of the family's 1533-position model. The record is from RNAcentral.
GUGGGGAAUCUUGGGCAAUGGGGGAAACCCUGACCCAGCGACGCCGCGUGAGGGAAGAAGGUCUUCGGAUUGUAAACCUUUGUGACAGGGGACGAAGGAAGUGACGGUACCCUGUGAGGAAGCCCCGGCUAACUACGUGCCAGCAGCCGCGGUAAUACGUAGGGGGCGAGCGUUGUCCGGAAUUACUGGGCGUAAAGGGCGCGUAGGCGGUUGAAUAAGUCUGUUGUGAAAUUCCAAGGCUUAACUUUGGCAGUGCAAUGGAAACUGUUCGACUUGAGUACGGCAGAGGCAAGUGGAAUUCCCAGUGUAGCGGUGAAAUGCACAGAGAUUGGGAGGAACACCAGUGGCGAAGGCGACUUGCUGGGCCGAAACUGACGCUGAGGCGCGAAAGCGUGGGGAGCAAACAGGA